UUUGUGCUAGCGAUUGGAAAUGCUAGUCUAAGCGUUUAGGGAGUUACGGUAGGCAAAUCCGCUGUAACAAUUCUGAGGCGUGAUGGGGAAGGCCAUAUAGGCCGAAGUACAUGAUUCCAUGCUUCCAAGAAAAGCAUCUAGAGAGAGAAGUAGUGCCCGUACCGCAAACCGACACAGGUAGAUGAGGAGAGAAUCCUAAGGCCGGCGGAAGAAUUGCAGUUAAGGAACUAGGCAAAUUGACCCCGUAAGUUCGCGAGAAGGGGUGCCUGCGAGAGCAGGCCGCAGAGAAUAGGCCCAAGCAACUGUUUAGCAAAAACACAGGUCUCUGCUAAAGCGUAAGCUGAUGUAUAGGGGCUGACGCCUGCCCGGUGCUGGAAGGUUAAGGGGAACACUUAGCGCAAGCGAAGGUGUGAACUUAAGCCCCAGUAAACGGCGGCCGUAACAAUAACGGUCCUAAGGUAGCGAAAUUCCUUGUCAGGUAAGUUCUGACCCGCACGAAUGGCGUAAUGACUUGGGCACUGUCUCAACUGCAAAUCCGGCGAAGUUGUAGUGCGAGUGAAGAUGCUCGCUACCCGCGAUUGGACGGAAAGACCCCGUAGAGCUUUACUGUAGCUUAGCAUUGAAUUCCGGUAUUGUCUGUACAGGAUAGGUGGGAGACUGGGAAACUAGGGCGUCAGCCUUAGUGGAGUCAACCUUGGGAUACCACCCUGACAGUACUGGGGUUCUAACAGGACGCCAUGAAUCUGGUGACUGGACAUUGUUAGGUGGGCAGUUUGACUGGGGCGGUCGCCUCCUAAAAAGUAACGGAGGCGCCCAAAGGUUCCCUCAGAACGGUCGGAAAUCGUUCGUAGAGUGCAAAGGCAGAAGGGAGCCUGACUGCGAGACAUACAAGUCGAGCAGGGACGAAAGUCGGGCUUAGUGAUCCGGUGGUACCUCGUGGGAGGGCCAUCGCUCAACGGAUAAAAGCUACCUCGGGGAUAACAGGCUGAUCUCCCCCAAGAGUCCACAUCGACGGGGAGGUUUGGCACCUCGAUGUCGGCUCGUCGCAUCCUGGGGCUGUAGUAGGUCCCAAGGGUUGGGCUGUUCGCCCAUCAAAGCGGCACGCGAGCUGGGUUCAGAACGUCGUGAGACAGUUCGGUCCCUAUCCGUCGCGGGCGUAGGAAAUUUGAGAGGAGCUGUCCUUAGUACGAGAGGACCGGGAUGGACUGACCUCUGGUGUGCCAGUUGUUCCGCCAGGAGCAUGGCUGGGUAGCUAAGUCGGGAAGGGAUAAACGCUGAAAGCAUCUAAGCGUGAAGCCUCCCUCAAGAUGAGAUUUCCCAUAGCAUAAGCUAGUAAGACCCCUUGAAGAACACAAGGUUGAUAGGUCAGAGGUGUAAGUGCGGUAACGUAUUUAGCUGACUGAUACUAAUAGGUCGAGGGCUUGAC
This 1426-nucleotide ribosomal RNA is filed under the name metagenome. Its description in RNAcentral is "bacterial LSU rRNA". It matches the Rfam family "Bacterial large subunit ribosomal RNA", at positions 1485 to 2925 of the family's 2925-position model. The record is from RNAcentral.